UACGGAGGGUGCGAGCGUUAAUCGGAAUAACUGGGCGUAAAGGGUGCGUAGGUGGUUAAUUAAGUUAUCUGUGAAAUUCCUGGGCUCAACCUAGGGCGGUCAGAUAAGACUGGUUAACUCGAGUAUGGUAGAGGGUAGUGGAAUUUCCGGUGUAGCGGUGAAAUGCGUAGAGAUCGGAAGGAACACCAGUGGCGAAGGCGGCUACCUGGACUAAUACUGACACUGAGGCACGAAAGCGUGGGGAGCAAACAGG
RNAcentral lists this ribosomal RNA (253 nucleotides) under uncultured bacterium. RNAcentral's name for it is "partial 16S ribosomal RNA". It matches the Rfam family "Bacterial small subunit ribosomal RNA", at positions 524 to 776 of the family's 1533-position model. The record is from RNAcentral.